GCGGGGGGGCGUGCCUAUACAUGCAAGUCGAACGAACUCUGGUAUUGAUUGGUGCUUGCAUCAUGAUUUACAUUUGAGUGAGUGGCGAACUGGUGAGUAACACGUGGGAAACCUGCCCAGAAGCGGGGGAUAACACCUGGAAACAGAUGCUAAUACCGCAUAACAACUUGGACCGCAUGGUCCGAGCUUGAAAGAUGGCUUCGGCUAUCACUUUUGGAUGGUCCCGCGGCGUAUUAGCUAGAUGGUGGGGUAACGGCUCACCAUGGCAAUGAUACGUAGCCGACCUGAGAGGGUAAUCGGCCACAUUGGGACUGAGACACGGCCCAAACUCCUACGGGAGGCAGCAGUAGGGAAUCUUCCACAAUGGACGAAAGUCUGAUGGAGCAACGCCGCGUGAGUGAAGAAGGGUUUCGGCUCGUAAAACUCUGUUGUUAAAGAAGAACAUAUCUGAGAGUAACUGUUCAGGUAUUGACGGUAUUUAACCAGAAAGCCACGGCUAACUACGUGCCAGCAGCCGCGGUAAUACGUAGGUGGCAAGCGUUGUCCGGAUUUAUUGGGCGUAAAGCGAGCGCAGGCGGUUUUUUAAGUCUGAUGUGAAAGCCUUCGGCUCAACCGAAGAAGUGCAUCGGAAACUGGGAAACUUGAGUGCAGAAGAGGACAGUGGAACUCCAUGUGUAGCGGUGAAAUGCGUAGAUAUAUGGAAGAACACCAGUGGCGAAGGCGGCUGUCUGGUCUGUAACUGACGCUGAGGCUCGAAAGUAUGGGUAGCAAACAGGAUUAGAUACCCUGGUAGUCCAUACCGUAAACGAUGAAUGCUAAGUGUUGGAGGGUUUCCGCCCUUCAGUGCUGCAGCUAACGCAUUAAGCAUUCCGCCUGGGGAGUACGGCCGCAAGGCUGAAACUCAAAGGAAUUGACGGGGGCCCGCACAAGCGGUGGAGCAUGUGGUUUAAUUCGAAGCUACGCGAAGAACCCUUACCAGGUCUUGACAUACUAUGCAAAU
Molecule: ribosomal RNA, 1000 nt
Filed under: Lactiplantibacillus sp.
Lineage: Bacteria; Bacillati; Bacillota; Bacilli; Lactobacillales; Lactobacillaceae
Description: bacterial SSU rRNA
Rfam family: Bacterial small subunit ribosomal RNA
Source: RNAcentral